Molecule: unclassified non-coding RNA, 227 nt
Filed under: uncultured fungus
Lineage: Eukaryota; Fungi
Description: sequence contains ITS1, 5.8S rRNA gene
Source: RNAcentral
UCUCCGUAGGUGAACCUGCGGAGGGAUCAUUACUGAGUGAGGGCUUCGGUCCGACCUCCAACCCUUUGUGAACCAAAACUUGUUGCUUCGGGGGCGACCCUGCCGCUUCGGCGGUGCGGCGCCCCCGGAGGCCAUUAAACACUGCAUCAUUGAGUCGGAGUUAAAGUAAAUUAAACAAAACUAUCAACAGCGGAUCUCGUGGUUCCAGCGACGAUGAAGAACGCAGC